RNAcentral lists this transfer RNA (46 nucleotides) under Carlia amax. RNAcentral describes it as "partial tRNA-His". The record is from RNAcentral. Lineage: Eukaryota; Metazoa; Chordata; Lepidosauria; Squamata; Scincidae.
AGAAUGUGGACCUAAAGAUAGAAGUUCAACUCUUCUUAGUGACCGA